GAUGAACGCUGGCGGCGUGCAUAACACAUUCAAGUCGAACGAGAAUCUGUGCUUGCACCGAGAGGAAAGUGGCGGACGGGUGAGUAACGCGUGAGCAACCUACCUUAGUNAGGGGGAUAACACAGGGAAACUUGUGCUAAUACCGCAUAAUGUAUUGGGAUCGCAUGGUUCUGAUACCAAAGCUCCGACGCACUAAGAUGGGCUCGCGUCCGAUUAGGUAGUUGGUGAGGUAACGGCUCACCAAGCCUACGAUCGGUAGCCGGACUGAGAGGUCGAACGGCCACAUUGGAACUGAGAAACGGUCCAGACUCCUACGGGAGGCAGCAGUGGGGAAUAUUGCACAAUGGGGGAAACCCUGAUGCAGCGACGCCGCGUGAGUGAAGAAGUAUUUCGGUAUGUAAAGCUCUAUCAGCAGGGAAGAUGAUGACGGUACCUGACUAAGAAGCCCCGGCUAACUACGUG
RNAcentral lists this ribosomal RNA (462 nucleotides) under uncultured bacterium. RNAcentral's name for it is "bacterial SSU rRNA". It matches the Rfam family "Bacterial small subunit ribosomal RNA", at positions 28 to 507 of the family's 1533-position model. The record is from RNAcentral.